Molecule: ribosomal RNA, 301 nt
Filed under: uncultured bacterium
Lineage: Bacteria
Description: partial 16S ribosomal RNA
Rfam family: Bacterial small subunit ribosomal RNA
Source: RNAcentral
CAGCAGCCGCGGGAAUACGAAGGUCCCGAGCGUUGUUCGGAAUCGCUGGGCGUAAAGGGAGCGUAGGCGGCGUGGUAAGUCAGAUGUGAAAUCCCGGGGCUCAACCCCGGAACUGCGUCCGAUACUGCCGUGCUAGAGGAUUGGAGAGGUAGCUGGAAUUCUUGGUGUAGCAGUGAAAUGCGUGGAGAUCAGGAGGAACACUCGUGGCGAAAGCGAGCUACUGGACAAUAUCUGACGCUGAGGCUCGAAGGCCAGGGUAGCGAAAGGGAUUAGAUACCCCAGUAGUCCCUGUCUCUUAUAC